CUUCAGUAUAUCUACAGCUUCUUAUACACACACAAAUCAACUGCUAUUUUUUUCAAUAAUAGUGUUAGUGGGGGCCUCAUGUAUGAGUUUCGCCUAAGGCCUCAGCAAGUCUAGAGCCGCCACUGCUGGAAGCACAUCUCUUCAGGAAAGCUUAGCAUGUUUUUAGGUGACGUUUUUCUCACUUGCUGCUUAAUCAUUCGCCUUGCCUUCACAGCGCAGCUCACUCUCUC
Molecule: non-coding RNA, 230 nt
Organism: Pelobates cultripes (western spadefoot toad)
Lineage: Eukaryota; Metazoa; Chordata; Amphibia; Anura; Pelobatidae
Source: the annotation of a GenBank genome assembly